RNAcentral lists this transfer RNA (77 nucleotides) under Escherichia coli. Its description in RNAcentral is "tRNA-Pro". It matches the Rfam family "tRNA". Rfam says of the family: Transfer RNA (tRNA) molecules are approximately 80 nucleotides in length. Their secondary structure includes four short double-helical elements and three loops (D, anti-codon, and T loops). Further hydrogen bonds mediate the characteristic L-shaped molecular structure. tRNAs have two regions of fundamental functional importance: the anti-codon, which is responsible for specific mRNA codon recognition, and the 3' end, to which the tRNAs corresponding amino acid is attached (by aminoacyl-tRNA synthetases). tRNAs cope with the degeneracy of the genetic code in two manners: having more than one tRNA (with a specific anti-codon) for a particular amino acid; and 'wobble' base-pairing, i.e. permitting non-standard base-pairing at the 3rd anti-codon position. The record is from RNAcentral. RNAcentral also lists the same sequence under 1 other name. Lineage: Bacteria; Pseudomonadati; Pseudomonadota; Gammaproteobacteria; Enterobacterales; Enterobacteriaceae.
CGGCGAGUAGCGCAGCUUGGUAGCGCAACCGGUUUGGGACCAGUGGGUCGGAGGUUCGAAUCCUCUCUCGCCGACCA